AGUGAACGCUGGCGGUAGGCCUAACACAUGCAAGUCGAACGGCAGCACAGUAAGUGCUUGCUCUUACGGGUGGCGAGUGGCGGACGGGUGAGGAAUACAUCGGAAUCUACUUUUUCGUGGGGGCUAACGUAGGGAAACUUACGCUAAUACCGCAUACGACCUACGGGUGAAAGCAGGGGAUCUUCGGCCCUUGCGCGAUUGCAUGAGCCGAUGGCGGAUUAGCUAGUUGGAGGGGUAAAGGCCCACCAAGGCGACGAUCCGUAGCUGGUCUGAGAGGACGGUCAGCCACACGGGAACUGAGACACGGACCAGACGCCUACGGGAGGCAGCAGUGGGGAAUGUUGGACAAUGGGCGAAAGCCUGAUCCAGCAAUGCCGCGUGUGGGAAGAAGGCCUUCGGGUUGUAAAGCACUUUUGUCCGGAAAGAAAGAAAGGGCUCUAAUACGGUCGGGGGAUGACGGUACCGAAAGAAUAAGCACCGGCUAACUACGUG
Molecule: ribosomal RNA, 492 nt
Filed under: uncultured bacterium
Lineage: Bacteria
Description: partial 16S ribosomal RNA
Rfam family: Bacterial small subunit ribosomal RNA
Source: RNAcentral